This 416-nucleotide ribosomal RNA is filed under the name uncultured Barnesiella sp. Its description in RNAcentral is "bacterial SSU rRNA". It matches the Rfam family "Bacterial small subunit ribosomal RNA", at positions 355 to 769 of the family's 1533-position model. Lineage: Bacteria; Pseudomonadati; Bacteroidota; Bacteroidia; Bacteroidales; Barnesiellaceae. The record is from RNAcentral.
UAAGGGAUAUUGGUCAAUGGGCGGGAGCCUGAACCAGCCAUGCCGCGUGAGGGAAUGAGGCCCUACGGGUCGUAAACCUCUUUUGCCGGGGGAUAACGGGCGCCACGCGUGGCGCCGUGAAGGUACCCGGAGAAUAAGCAUCGGCUAACUCCGUGCCAGCAGCCGCGGUAAUACGGAGGAUGCGAGCGUUAUCCGGAUUUAUUGGGUUUAAAGGGUGCGUAGGCGGACCGUUAAGUCAGUGGUAAAAUUGAGAGGCUCAACCUCUUCCGGCCAUUGAAACUGGCGGACUUGAGUGAGCGAGAAGUAUGCGGAAUGCGUGGUGUAGCGGUGAAAUGCAUAGAUAUCACGCAGAACUCCGAUUGCGAAGGCAGCAUACCGGCGCUCAACUGACGCUGAGGCACGAAAGCGUGGGGAUC